RNAcentral lists this unclassified non-coding RNA (336 nucleotides) under soil metagenome. RNAcentral describes it as "partial contains 5.8S ribosomal RNA, internal transcribed spacer 2, and large subunit ribosomal RNA". The stretch from base 3 to 120 matches the Rfam family "5.8S ribosomal RNA", at positions 37 to 154 of the family's 154-position model. The record is from RNAcentral.
GCUGAAGAACGUAGUGAAAUGCGAUAAGUAAUGUGAAUUGCAGAAUUCCGUGAAUCAUCGAAUCUUUGAACGCACAUUGCGCCCCCUGGUAUUCCGGGGGGCAUGCCUGUCCGAGCGUCAUUGCAACCUUCAAGCGCGGCUUGUGUGUUGGGUCUCGUCCCCCGUGGACGGGCCCGAAAGGCAGUGGCGGCGUCCCGACAUGGUGCCCGAGCGUAUGGGAAUCCUCUUCCGCUCGAAUCGGCCCAUGCGGCGCUGGUCGUAACCAAAUUUUUUACCGGUUGACCUCGGAUCAGGUAGGGAUACCCGCUGAACUUAAGCAUAUCAAUAAGCGGAGGA